Molecule: ribosomal RNA, 472 nt
Filed under: uncultured soil bacterium
Lineage: Bacteria
Description: bacterial SSU rRNA
Rfam family: Bacterial small subunit ribosomal RNA
Source: RNAcentral
AGGACGAACGCUGGCGGCGCGCUUAACACAUGCAAGUCGAACGUGAAGCUGGAGCUUGCUCCGGUGGAAAGUGGCGAACGGGUGCGUAACACGUGAGCAACCUGCCCCGAAGACUGGGAUAACACCGGGAAACCGGUGCUAAUACCGGAUACCUUCUUCCGAUCGCAUGGUUGGAUGAAGAAAUGGAUUCCGCUUCGGGAUGGGCUCGCGGCCUAUCAGCUUGUUGGUGAGGUAACGGCCCACCAAGGCGACGACGGGUAGCUGGUCUGAGAGGACGACCAGCCACACUGGGACUGAGACACGGCCCAGACUCCUACGGGAGGCAGCAGUGGGGAAUCUUGCUCAAUGGGCGAAAGCCUGAAGCAGCGACGCCGCGUGCGGGAUGAAGGCCCUCGGGUUGUAAACCGCUUUCAGCAGGACGAAAUUGACGGUACCUGCAGAAGAAGGCCCGCAACUACGUGCCAGCAGCCGC